AAGUCUUCACCAGGAAAUACUAAUUUCUUGCAAUUUGCAACAUGGAGCUCGCUAAUUCCUAUCUAAUUUUCCAGAUAUGAUGGCUCUGGUAAGUUCUAUUUUAUGCAGAAAAUCAAUAUUACCUUUUGGUCAAGUCUUUAAUAUAAUUAUUUUCCAAAUAGUCACUUUUCUAGCUAGAGGAUCUUUUAUAACUGUAUCUGAAAUUUGGAGUUGAGACUAAUGCUUAUUCUGUUAUUUAGAUUAAGGCUAAGUCUAAGCCAUUUGGAUAUCUUCUUUUGUGAAGGUUCUUUCAAGUCUUUUGCCAAUGUUUCAAAUUGUGUUUAUGCCGUCUCCUUAUUGCUUUUCUUUACUGCAUGUAUUUUUUUUUCUUCAACUUUUAUUUUAAGUUCCAGGUUAUAUCUAUGCAGGAUGUGAAGGUUUGUUACAUAGGUAAAUGUGUGCCAGGGUUGUUUGCUGCACAGAUCAACCCAUCACCUAGGUAAUCAGCCCAGCAUCCAUUAGCCAUUCCUCCAGAUGCAUGUGUGUUUUUUAUUGUAUGAUUUCCUGAGUGUUCUUUAUAUGGUUUUAUUGUUUUCAUUUCUUUGAGUUGGAUUUGCUGCUCUCUUAUCUUGAUUAUUGAAAUGGAAGCUAUAACAUUGUCAGUGCUUCUUUUUUUAUAAAACAUCGUUUCUUUUUGAGUACUCUUUUAGGUAUAUUACACAAUAUUUCAUUUGUUAUAUUUUUAUCAUUCAAUUAAAAUAUUUUUACAUUCUACUGAGAUUAUUUUUUAACCCACACUUUAUGUGGAAGGGUAUCAUUUAAACUUAUUUAGGAAUUUUCUUUUUUUGACUUUUAUUUAAAGUUCAGAGUUACAACUGUAGGUUUGUUACAUAGGUAAACUUUUGUCAUGGGGGUUUAUUGUGCAAAUUAUUUCACCACCCAGGUAUUAAGCCUAGUACCCAUUAGUUAUUUUUCCUGACUGCCUCCCUCCUCCCACCCUCCACCUUCUGAAAGGCCCCAGUGUGUGUUGUUCCCCUGUAUGUGUCCGUGUGUUCUCAUUACUUAGCUCCCACUUAUGAUUGAGAAUUUGUGAUAUUUAGUUUUCUGUUCCUGUGUUAGUUUGCUGUGGAUAAUGGCCUUCAGCUACAUCCAUGUUCCUGCAAAAAACAAGAUCUCAUUCUUUUCUAUGGCUGCAUAGUAUUCUGUGGUAUAUAUGUACCACAUUUUCUUUUUUAAACUUUUUUAAAAUUAUACUUUAAAUUCUAGGAUACAUGUGCAGAACGUGCAGGUUUGUUACAUAGGUAUACAUGUGCCAUGGUGGUUUGCUGCACCCAUCAACCCGUGACCUAUAUUAGGUAUUUCUCCUAAUGCUAUCCCUCCCCUAGCAAUCCAACCCUUGAAAGACUCCAGUGUGUGAUGUUCCCCUCCCUGUGCCCAUGUGUUCUCAUUGUUCAACUCCCACUUAUGAGUGAGAACAUGCAGUGUUUGGUUUUCAGUUCUUGUGUUAGUUUGCUGAGAAUGAUGGUUUCCAGCUUCAUCCAUGUCCCUACAAAGGACAUGAACUCAUCUUUUUUUAUGGCUGCAUAGUAUUCCAUGGUGUAUAUAUACCAUAUUUUCUUUAUUCAGUCUAUCAUUGAUGGGCAUUUGGGUUGGUUCCAAGUCUUUGCUAUUUUGAACAGUGUCGCAAUAAACAUAUGUGUGCAAGUGUCUUUACAGUAGAAUGAUUUAUAAUACUUUGGGUAUAUAUCCAGUAAUGGGAUUGCUGGAUCAAAUGGUAUUUCUGGUUCUAGAUCCUUGAGGAAUCACCACACUGUCUUCCACAAUAGUUGAGUGAAUUCACAAUCCCAACAACAGUCUAAAAGCGUUCCUAUUUCUCCGCAUCCUCUCCAGCAUCAGUUGUUUCCUGACUUUUUAAUGAUCACCAUUCUAACUAGCAUGAGAUGAUGUCUCAUUGUGGUUUUGAUUUGCAUUUCUCUAAUGACCAGUGAUGAUGAGCUUUUUUUCAUAUGUUUGUUGGCUGCAUAAAUGUCUUCUUUUUAGAAGUGUCUGUUAAUAUGCUUUGCCCACUUUUUGAUGGGUUGUUUUUUUCUUGUAAAUUUAAGUUCUUUGUAGAUUCUGGAUACUGGUCCUUUGUCAGAUGGAUAGAUUGCAAAAAUUUUCUGCCCUUCUGUAGGUUGCCUGUUCACUCUGAUGAUAGUUUCUUUUGCUGAGCAGAAACUCUUUAGUUUAAUUAGAUCCCAUUUGUCAAUUUUGGCUUUUGUUGCCAUUGCUUUUGGUGUUUUAGUCAUGAAGUCUUUCCCCAUGCCUAUGUCCUGAAUGAUAUUGCCUAUGUUUCUUCUAGAGUUUUUAUGGUUUAGCUCUUACAUUUAAUUCUUUAACCCAUCUUGAGUUAAUUUUUGUGUAAGUUGUAAGGAAGGGGUCCAGUUUCAGUUUUCUGCAUAUGGCUAGCCAAUUUUCCCAACACCAUUUGUUAAAUAGGGAAUCCUUUCCCCAUUGCUUGUUUUUGUCAGGUUUGUCAAAGAUAAGAUGGUUGUAGAUGUGUGGUGUUAUUUCUGAGGCCUCUGUUCUGUUUCAUUGGUUUAUAUAUCUAUUUUGGUACCAGAACCAUGCUGUUUUGGUUACUGUAGUCUUGUAGUAUAGUUUGAAGUCAGGUAGCAUGAUGCCUCCAGCUUUGUUCUCUUUGCUUAGGAUUGUCUUGGCUAUGCAGCCUCUUUUUUGGUUCCAUAUGUCAUUUAAAUUAGUUUUUAUUAAUUCUGUGAGGAAAGUCAAUGGUAGCUUGAUGAGGAUAGCACUGGAUCUAUAAAUUACUUUGGACAAUAUGAUUAUUUUCAUGAUACUGGUUCUCCCUACCCAUGAGCAUGGAAGGUUUUUCAAUUUGUUUGUGUCCUCUCUUAUUUCCUUGAGCAGUGUUUUGUAGUUCUCCUUGAAGAGGUCCUUCAUGUCCCUUGUGAGUUCUGUCUCAGGUAUUUUAUUCUUUUUGUAGCAAUUGUGAAUGGGAGUUCACUCAUGAUUUGGCUCUCUGUUUGUCUAUUAUUGGUAUAUAGGAAUGCUUGUGAUUUUUGCACAUUGAUUUUGUAUCCUGAGACUUUGCUGAAACUGCUUAUCAGCUUAAGGAGUUUUGGGGCUGAGACAAUAGGAUUUUCUAAAUAUACAAUCAUGUCAUCUGCAAACAGAGACAAUAUGACUUCCUCUCUUCCUAUUUGAACACGCUUUAUUUCCUUCUCUUGCCUGACUGCCCUGGCCAGAACUUCCAAUACUAUGUUGAAUAGGAGUUGUGAGAGAGGGCAUCCUUGUCUUGUGCCGGUUUUCAAAGGGAAUGCUUCCAGUUUUUGCCCAUUUCGUAUGAUAUUGGCUAUGGGUUUGCCAUAAGUGGCUCUUAUUAUUUUGAGAUAUGUUCCAUCAAUACCUAGUUUAUUGAGAGUUUUUAUCAUGGAGGGCUGUUGAAUUUUGUUGAAGGCCUUUUCUACAUCAAUUGAGAUAAUCAUGUGGUUUUUGUCAUUGGCUCUGUUUAUGUGAUGGAUUACAUUUAUUGAUUUGUGUAUGUUGAAGCAGCCUUGCAUCCCAGGGAUAAAGCCGACUUGAUUGUGGUGGAUAAGCCUUUUUUUUUUUGAGAUGGAGUCUCACUUUGUCGCCCAGGCUGGAGUGCAGUGAUGCGAUCUCCGCUCACUGCAACCUCCACCUCCCAGGUUCACGCCAUUCUCCUGCCUCAGCCUCUUGAGUAGCUGGGACUACAGGCACCUGCCACCACGUCCAGCUAAUUUUUUGUAUUUUUAGUAGAGAUGGGGUUUCCCUGUGUUAGCCAAGAUGGUCUGGAUCUCCUGACCUCAUGAUCCACCCACCUUGGCCUCCCAAAGUGCUAGGAUUACAGGCGUGAGCCACCGCACCCGGCCGUGGAUAAGCUUUUUGAUUUGCUCCUGGAUUCGAUUUGCCAGAAUUUUAUUGAGGAUUUUUGCAUCGAUGUUCAUCAGGGAUAUUGGCCUGAAAUUUUCUUUUUUUGUUGUGUCUCUGCCAGGUUUUGGUAUCAGGAA
Molecule: long non-coding RNA, 4007 nt
Filed under: Homo sapiens (human)
Lineage: Eukaryota; Metazoa; Chordata; Mammalia; Primates; Hominidae
Description: non-protein coding LINC00571:11
Source: RNAcentral